RNAcentral lists this long non-coding RNA (364 nucleotides) under Brassica napus (rape). RNAcentral's name for it is "long non-coding RNA (BNAP_LNC020588)". The record is from RNAcentral. Lineage: Eukaryota; Viridiplantae; Streptophyta; Magnoliopsida; Brassicales; Brassicaceae.
CAUCAAAAACAUAUCAGAUCCAUGCGUCGGCAGAUUAAAGGAGCAAGAAAUGAAAAAGAAUAAUGGAAAUUUGGGAAGAAUCUUCCUCCUCUCUGUUAGGCUAGAUUGACGGCGAACUCGAGCCGAUGGCGUGACGACGAGAUUGCGAAGAUGGUGUGACGUUGAGCUUGAGCACAUGUGAGAUGAUGGCGUGAAGUCGACCUUGAACUCCGCCGUGGAUUCGUCUCUGGAGAGCCUCCAGAGCUUCGUCACCAGCGAAUCUCCGUAUUCUUCAACUCCAUUAUCAUCUUCUUAUGUUUUCUGUUGAUCAAAUAUGAAAAAAAUAGUAAAAAAUAAGAGGAAGAGAAGAUUCAUACCAAAAAAA